AUUUGAAAAUACCCGAGUAGAGCUGCAAAUCAGUUGGGGAGAGAGGAUUUUGCCUGCCUUCUUCCUUAUUAUUUUGCUGCUGCAAGGCUGCUUUGCAAUCCGUAGGAAAUACUGUUGUGCUGAGGAAGGAAACGGCUCCCUGCUCUCUCUUUUUUUUUUUCUUUCGCUCUCCUUUCUUCUUGCCUGAAUUAGAAGCUCCAGGAAUGUGCUAAUUGGCAGCGGCCUCUUCAGAAAGGAAAAUGAAUCUUGUUAUGUGAGGGCACUGAGGAGGAAACAGUCCCCAGCUACCAAGAGGAAGAAAGGCCGGUGGGAAAUACACAGGAAUGCUUGCGGAGGGAGGCCUGUUGCUGUCCCAUUCGGUGGGGCACUAGAGCCCCAGAGGUCAGCUGUGGGCACUGGGCUGCUGAACCUGGGACAUCCACUGGGAAACAUGAGAAAGCUUUGGAGUGAC
Molecule: long non-coding RNA, 451 nt
Filed under: Aquila chrysaetos chrysaetos
Lineage: Eukaryota; Metazoa; Chordata; Aves; Accipitriformes; Accipitridae
Description: lncRNA (ENSACCG00020012191.1)
Source: RNAcentral